Molecule: ribosomal RNA, 238 nt
Filed under: uncultured Pseudomonas sp.
Lineage: Bacteria; Pseudomonadati; Pseudomonadota; Gammaproteobacteria; Pseudomonadales; Pseudomonadaceae
Description: partial 16S ribosomal RNA
Rfam family: Bacterial small subunit ribosomal RNA
Source: RNAcentral
AGACGUGCCGGUGACAAACCGGAGGAAGGUGGGGAUGACGUCAAGUCAUCAUGGCCCUUACGGCCUGGGCUACACACGUGCUACAAUGGUCGGCACAAAGAGUUGCCAAGCCGCGAGGUGGAGCUAAUCCCAUAAAACCGAUCGUAGUCCGGAUCGCAGUCUGCAACUCGACUGCGUGAAGUCGGAAUCGCUAGUAAUCGUGAAUCAGAAUGUCACGGUGAAUACGUUCCCGGGCCUU